AGCAGCCGCGGUAAUUCCAGCUCCAAUAGCGUAUAUUAAAGUUGUUGCAGUUAAAAAGCUCGUAGUUGAAUUUCGGGAUUAGUAGUCUGGUCGUGCCACUGGUAUGUACUGGUCUUACUGAUUUCUCCUUCUUGAAGAACCGUAAUGUCAUUAAUUUGUUGUUGCGGGGAAUCUGGACUGUUACUUUGAAAAAUUAGAGUGUUUAAAGCAGGCUAACGCUUGAAUACAUUAGCAUGGAAUAAUGAAAUAGGACGUUCGAUCCUAUUUUGUUGGUUUCUAGGAUUGACGUAAUGAUUAAUAGGGAUAGUUGGGGGCAUUAGUAUUCAAUUGUCAGAGGUGAAAUUCUUGGAUUUAUUGAAGACUAACUACUGCGAAAGCAUUUGCCAAGGAUGUUUUCAUUAAUCAAGAACGAAAGUUAGGGGAUCGAAGACGAUCAGAUACCGUCGUAGUCUUAACCAUAAACUAUGCCGACUAGGGAUCGGAUGAUGUUAAUUUUAUAAUGACUCAUUCGGCGCCUUAA
Molecule: ribosomal RNA, 520 nt
Filed under: uncultured Glomus
Lineage: Eukaryota; Fungi; Glomeromycota; Glomeromycetes; Glomerales; Glomeraceae
Description: SSU rRNA
Rfam family: Eukaryotic small subunit ribosomal RNA
Source: RNAcentral